RNAcentral lists this ribosomal RNA (883 nucleotides) under uncultured bacterium. RNAcentral's name for it is "bacterial SSU rRNA". It matches the Rfam family "Bacterial small subunit ribosomal RNA", at positions 56 to 953 of the family's 1533-position model. The record is from RNAcentral.
UGCAGUCGAACGAGAGAGAGGGAGCUUGCUUCCUUGAUCGAGUGGCGAACGGGUGAGUAACGCGUGAGGAACCUGCCUCAAAGAGGGGGACAACAGUUGGAAACGACUGCUAAUACCGCAUAAGCCCACGACCCGGCAUCGGGAAGAGGGAAAAGGAGCAAUCCGCUUUGAGAUGGCCUCGCGUCCGAUUAGCUAGUUGGUGAGGUAACGGCCCACCAAGGCGACGAUCGGUAGCCGGACUGAGAGGUUGAACGGCCACAUUGGGACUGAGACACGGCCCAGACUCCUACGGGAGGCAGCAGUGGGGAAUAUUGCACAAUGGGGGAAACCCUGAUGCAGCGACGCCGCGUGGAGGAAGAAGGUCUUCGGAUUGUAAACUCCUGUUGUUGAGGAAGAUAAUGACGGUACUCAACAAGGAAGUGACGGCUAACUACGUGCCAGCAGCCGCGGUAAAACGUAGGUCACAAGCGUUGUCCGGAAUUACUGGGUGUAAAGGGAGCGCAGGCGGGCGAUCAAGUUGGAAGUGAAAUCCAUGGGCUCAACCCAUGAACUGCUUUCAAAACUGGUCGUCUUGGGUAGUGCAGAGGUAGGCGGAAUUCCCGGUGUAGCGGUGGAAUGCGUAGAUAUCGGGAGGAACACCAGUGGCGAAGGCGGCCUACUGGGCACCAACUGACGCUGAGGCUCGAAAGUGUGGGUAGCAAACAGGAUUAGAUACCCUGGUAGUCCACACCGUAAACGAUGAUUACUAGGUGUUGGGAGAUUGACCCUCUCAGUGCCGCAGUUAACACAAUAAGUAAUCCACCUGGGGAGUACGACCGCAAGGUUGAAACUCAAAGGAAUUGACGGGGGCCCGCACAAGCAGUGGAGUAUGUGGUUUAAUUCG